GUCGUAGGGCCCUUAAGGGUACCGAAUGGUUUAACGGGUGAGUAACACGUGGGUGAUCUGCCCUGCACUUCGGGAUAAGCCCGGGAAACUGGGUCUAAUACCGGAUAGGACUGCGCGGUGCAUGCCGUGUGGUGGAAAGAUUUAUCGGUGCAGGAUGGGCCCGCGGCCUAUCAGCUUGUUGGUGGGGUAAUGGCCUACCAAGGCGACGACGGGUAGCCGGCCUGAGAGGGCGACCGGCCACACUGGGACUGAGACACGGCCCAGACUCCUACGGGAGGCAGCAGUGGGGAAUAUUGCACAAUGGGCGCAAGCCUGAUGCAGCGACGCCGCGUGAGGGAUGACGGCCUUCGGGUUGUAAACCUCUUUCAGCAGGGACGAAGCGUGAGUGACGGUACCUGCAGAAGAAGCACCGGCCAACUACGUGCCAGCAGCCGCGGUAAAUACGUAGGGUGCAAGCGUUGUCCGGAAUUACUGGGCGUAAAGAGCUCGUAGGCGGUUUUCGCGUCUCUGUGAAAACCACAGCUCACUGUUGGCUUGCAGGCGAUACGGCAGACUUGAGUAUUCAGGGAGACUGGAAUUCCUGGUGUACCGUGAAAUGCGCAGAUAUCAGAGA
Molecule: ribosomal RNA, 613 nt
Filed under: Rhodococcus sp. HPC705
Lineage: Bacteria; Bacillati; Actinomycetota; Actinomycetes; Mycobacteriales; Nocardiaceae
Description: bacterial SSU rRNA
Rfam family: Bacterial small subunit ribosomal RNA
Source: RNAcentral